Molecule: ribosomal RNA, 482 nt
Filed under: uncultured bacterium
Lineage: Bacteria
Description: partial 16S ribosomal RNA
Rfam family: Bacterial small subunit ribosomal RNA
Source: RNAcentral
AUUGAACGCUGGCGGCAUGCCUUACACAUGCAAGUCGAACGGUAACAGGUCUUCGGAUGCUGACGAGUGGCGAACGGGUGAGUAAUACAUCGGAACGUGCCUAGUAGUGGGGGAUAACUACUCGAAAGAGUGGCUAAUACCGCAUGAGAUCUACGGAUGAAAGCAGGGGAUCGCAAGACCUUGUGCUACUAGAGCGGCCGAUGGCAGAUUAGGUAGUUGGUGGGAUAAAAGCUUACCAAGCCGACGAUCUGUAGCUGGUCUGAGAGGACGAUCAGCCACACUGGGACUGAGACACGGCCCAGACUCCUACGGGAGGCAGCAGUGGGGAAUGUUGGACAAUGGGCGCAAGCCUGAUCCAGCAAUGCCGCGUGCAGGAUGAAGGCCUUCGGGUUGUAAACUGCUUUUGUACGGAACGAAAAGCCCUGGGUUAAUACCCUGGGGUCAUGACGGUACCGUAAGAAUAAGCACCGGCUAACUACGUG